GUCGCUACUACCGAUUGGAUGUUUAAGCGAGACCUUCGGACCUCUGGCGCAUGAUCUUCGGUGAUUGCGCUGAGAAGAAAGUAGAUCUAGCUUAUGUGUCUAGAGGAAGUAA
This 112-nucleotide ribosomal RNA is filed under the name uncultured eukaryote. Its description in RNAcentral is "partial small subunit ribosomal RNA". It matches the Rfam family "Eukaryotic small subunit ribosomal RNA", at positions 1675 to 1785 of the family's 1831-position model. The record is from RNAcentral.